GACGAACGCUGGCGGCGUGCUUAACACAUGCAAGUCGAGCGGUAAGGCCUCUUCGGGGGUACACGAGCGGCGAACGGGUGAGUAACACGUGGGUGACCUGCCUCUAGCUCUGGGAUAAGCCUGGGAAACUGGGUCUAAUACCGGAUAUUCACUUCCUGCUGCAUGGUGGGUGGUGGAAAGUUUUUCGGCUGGAGAUGGGCCCGCGGCCUAUCAGCUUGUUGGUGGGGUGAUGGCCUACCAAGGCGACGACGGGUAGCCGGCCUGAGAGGGCGACCGGCCACACUGGGACUGAGACACGGCCCAGACUCCUACGGGAGGCAGCAGUGGGGAAUAUUGCGCAAUGGGCGGAAGCCUGACGCAGCGACGCCGCGUGGGGGAUGACGGCCUUCGGGUUGUAAACCUCUUUCGACCUCGACGAAGCGUGAGUGACGGUAGGGGUAGAAGAAGCACCGGCCAACUACGUGCCAGCCGCCGCCGUAACAC
Molecule: ribosomal RNA, 483 nt
Filed under: uncultured bacterium
Lineage: Bacteria
Description: bacterial SSU rRNA
Rfam family: Bacterial small subunit ribosomal RNA
Source: RNAcentral